AGUCCAUAUCACAGUGUUUCGACACUGGAAGGCCUUUGAAGCAAUCUCGCUCCUCUCUUUCACUCUUUCUUUCUCAGUGUUCCCCCCUGCGGGAGGACACACAAGUUGCGCUGUAAGGAUGAAAUUUGUUUCAUUAUCACAUAAAAGCCUCCUGGGGCGUCGGAGAAUAGAUGUGGAAAAUGGGCCAGCUUUAGGAACAAUGGGGGCCGAACGUGAUGCUCUAACCUGCUAUAUUCUAUCACUCAGCCAUUGUCAGGGGGAUACUUUUAAACUACUUAGUGUCUCCCUCUCCACUGAUUUUAACUGAUAAAACAGUUCUCCAUCGAAUAAAUCAAAACAACGGGAUGCCACUGCGACCGGCCGAAAGAAUAAAACCCCGUGGUGUUCUUUCUCACACAGUCAUCUGGUGGGUCGCGAGCCCGUACUGCAGUUCCAGUUUUACUCAACUAAACCAUUUCUGUCCCCUUGUCCAACGUACGCUCCCUCUCCGGGCGUGCAAAGUGUAUAGGCUGCCUCCCUUUCCUCUCCACAUAUCAUCUUUUAAACACUGGUGAUCUGCGAAUAAACAAAGCUAGUAAACAAUGAAAGGACAAUAUAAAUACAUACAGGAUGUGUACAUGUACAACCAAAUUCCAGGAGAGUAAACUUUGAAUAGCAAGAUGUCAUAUAUCAGUAAAUUUACACAGAUAUUAAAUUUCGCUCUGUUCAUUUUAGACAUAGUGCUAAGCUGAAUUUUUAUAGCACACUGAUCGAUAUCUUGGUAAAAUAAUCAUUUUUUAAACUAGCGGGGCAGUGAAAUCUUUGCUUUGUGCUAAAGUCAACAGUGGCAGAGUUUGAGCUCAAAUAAAUGCCGUGAUACCUCCAGCCUUGUGCAGUAGGCUUGCCGGCGAGGCUCUAAAACUGGGCUCCGCCGCUUUGGCUAAACAGCGGCAACAACUUCAUCAGGUCACUGAGGACUGUCCACGGGGGGAGGACAGGAGUGGACAGGAACGGACACAACGCUGAAGCCCGCCCAGAACCAGAACCGCCGACGGUCUCUACCGGUCGCAGUCGACCGAACCCGGUCGAGCCGGUGGCAAAUAUGAAAUAUCAAAGUGCCCGUCGGCAGCGCUCGCCGGGACAAAAGGAGAGCGGCAUUAAUGAUUAACUGCGCUAAAAGCCCCUGCUUUUGUAUUCCCAUGGAGCCCGGGCUAUCUGGCCCGCCAUGUGACAUGCUCUGGCCAUUUUCUAGCAGAUUGGGGAAAGCCAGUGAGCAAACACAGGUGCUGCGGAGUCAGUGGCGGCGCCAGGGGCAACCGCAAACAGGGCCAGCAAUGUGCCAGGCUAAAUGAGCUUUGCGUCGGCCGCCUCUCCGCUCUUCCCCGGAGGGUCCCACAUUUCAAGUCCAAUGUCUCCUGCCCCGGUUCGCAACUAUUCACACUCUGUUCCAUAGAAAAGAAUGAAGGAGAAGAAAAAAAAAACUUUACGCGCACACACAAACACACACAGACGCACACACACAUGCACACACACACACACGCAAAAAAAAAAACCAAAAAACGUGGGGGACGCGAGAGGCAGGCAGCGACUUCUUUGAAACGACGGUGUUCGGUGGCCAAGCACAGAGACAGAGCAAACUAAUUAAUGGGGUUCAAGUCUCCGAAUUUGAAAACAAAACAAAUUUAUUUUUCUCAAGUGGGGCUAUUUCUGUGACCUCCCCCGCCGGUGUCAAAUGCAAUGGCUCUCUCACUCAUGACCUAGAGGGGACGGGAUAGACCUAUAGGCCUAUGCACAAAUGCUUUGAUAAAACAACAACUUUUAAAGUGUGGUCACAUUCCUGAUUUGUAUAUUUGAUUCCCUAUGAAUAUUGAAUAGCAUGAUGUUGAGAAAUAAACUCAAAGAAGUUUUAUGAAUCCAUAAUACAAUUAAAACUGAAAUGUUUAUUCGCUUAACUUUUCUUUUUUUUAUAGGUUUCAUAAAUGCAAGAUCAUAAGCAAUUCACUGACAAACAACAGAAUGAAAGGAACAAACAAAAGAAAAACGUGUUCAAACACAAGCAUCAAUUAACAGACAGCAAUACAAUAGUAAAACAGCAAAGUAAUUGUUAAUUAACAAUCAAGUGUCAAUUACUUGAAAGUUCCAUUAAAAACUGGGAUGCAAGGAAUUCUCCCAAGUGGAUUAAAUCUAUUUGUUUUUAUUCCAGUUUUUUUUUUCUUUGCAUGCUGCAAGUUUGAUGGAGUGUCAUUUACUGUUCAAAUAUUUAUAUUAGUGCACUGCUGCUUGCCUUGUGGAAAAACUGCAGAAAUAAUGAAAAGACCAGCAAAGCAUAGAUUAUAAGAGGGAAAAGUGUAAUAAAAGGGUUAUAAAGAAAACAUGCAAAAUUAAUGCAACUGAGCAGGGUUGCCCAAUCUUCUCCAAAAUGGCCGAUAUUUGUGCUAGUUUUUGUGAAGCCCAGUACUAAGAUGCCUGAUUCUACUUAGAAAGGACUUGAUUGAAGACCCUGAUUAGUUAAUUAGUUGUAUCAGGUGUUAUAGUGUGGGGCUAAAGAAAAGCACAUUCCUGAAACAGAGUAAGCCCAAACCUAAUUAAUGAGAUGUGAUAUUAUUUGCAUAAAAUUAUCCCAUAUUGUGUAAGCAUGGUCCUGGAUCAAUGAGUUAUCUGGAUAACUGCACUGAGCUAAACCCCAGUCCAUGUUCCAAAUUUGGGGCAGUUUCGUGUUUUACUCAGUGCAGUUAUCCAGCUAACUCAGUUAUCCUGCUUUGUGGUACAGGUCCCAGCCCUUUUCAGAUAAGUUUAGACUAAAAUGUAAAAAUUGUGAGGGGAGGGUAGGAGGGGAAACCUCUUAAGUUUGGCUAUAAAUGGGUUUUUAAAUGAGGUGAGGUGUAGUGAGAAUUGGAAUCUGGCCCACUGUUGAGUAUAUUUGCCAUUCUCCUGGAAUCAGUCAAAGAAAUAUCAUUUUAUUCACAUUACCCAAAAAACACAACAUGUUAUAGAAUUAAAAAAAAAAAAGAAUAAUCUCAGCUGUGAAACUUAAGAAUUUGAUUAGAGGGCAAAUAGGCGGAUAUGACACAGUAGAAGAUUUUUUAAGAAAAAGUGUCAUCUUUACACUCCAAGUCUGUUUUUUUCAGGUUUCAGGCCUAAUUUACUCCGGAGAGCCCUGGUAAACGUUUUGACCUCGACGUAAGAUUUAAGAUCCGCAGCUCUGUUAUCAAUUCUCCAUUCUCCCUCGGAAGAUUCCCGGCCUAUUGUCGGGCGACAGCAGGGCCAUCGAAGCAGGUUUUUUUUUUUAGUAACGAGGCAGGUCGGGCAAAGCUCACCGAGAAGAACCGCGUCUCUGAAAGACCCCCUUUGAUGUGACGGGCGCGCUGCGGAAUCCCAAAAGAGCAAGCGUGCCGCACGCAGCCGCGCACCGCAUUAACCCUUUCUUUUGUCUUUGGUCCGGCCCACACCCAGAGUGAAGUGACACCCAGCCGUGCGGGAUCAUUUCAUUUGCGUGUGAUCUAUUGUGCUAAUAGCGAUAGCCUGAUUGUUCUCAGCAUGACCAGUCAUGUAGCGGAUAACAUCAGCUUGCCUUUGCUUUUGUGUUCUCCUGGAUUUCUAUGUUUCGUUUAAGAUGAAAGAAUUGUGUGCACUUGUGUGCUCAGGUAUAUCUGUAAAUUUAAGCAAAUGAUACUGUGAUUUCCCCUUGUUCCAAUACACACACAUAACAUAAUGCAACAGAAUGUGUCACAUUCUUAAUAAAACGGUAGGCCUAUAGGAACGUUGUUCAUAGCACCUAGGCCUGACAUACAGUAAAUUCAGUUGAUUGAUAGGGAAGGACAAAGCAUCAGGUGUAGACCUCUCAGAUGAAGCUGUCUUCUCAUUUGGAUCUGUGAAUUUCUGCUGUCAUUCAAAUAAAUCAUCUCACAAAAUAAAUAAAUAAAAAGUUAGCCUUAGUUUGUCUGUAAUAACACAGCAACCUUUUUUCUUCAUGAAGAUUUCGAGGCACCUUUCAAUAAUUCAAGAUUUUUUAAUGCCAGGAUGGGGAGACAUGGUAAGGUGGAUAUAGGUUUACAACCUGCAGGACUUCAGUGCACUUAAGGUCCAAGGUCAGAUCAUUUGCAUUCAAUGGAACAGAUAGUGGAGACACUUCAAAGCAGGCCUUUUUACAAACAGUGGUAAAACUGUUAUAUGGGUUUAUUAGAGGUAGCACUAAUGGCUACACUUAUCAUGGGUCAGGCUAGAACAACUCUAGGGGACUGUUAAGUAGGUGAGCUCACAACUUGCCACUCUUAAUUCUUGAAUGGAUGCCACAAAUCCAGAGUAAAAAAAAUAUUUGAAUUUAAAAGUAAAUACCUUUUCGGUAUGUUCAUUUAAAAAUUACAUUCCAAGUAAAAUAUCAAGGAGGAAUAAAGUCUUUAAAGAAAGAAACCGAGCAGAGCAUAUUCACAACUUCUGAAUUAACACACAUUAAAGAUAUGGGGUUAUAUUUAGUGUUUUCCAAGUAUUUGACAGAAACACAAGCUCACGCACAAACACACACGCGCGCACUUACGCAAACACGCACGGGCGAUAUUCAUGACCCGCAUUUUCUUCAUCAUCCACGGACAGCAUAUGGCAUCUCUACGCCUUGACGAAGAACACCACGACUAAUAAACUAAUAAAUCUGUCCCCCAGAAUGAUUCAAUGCAUCGAAGCCUGAGAGUGCGCCAGCUUCCCUUUUUUCAGUGUACAGUAUGUUCCGCUGGUCAUCACCGCCACAGUCCAGGUGUGCGUUCCCUUCAUUCAACAAUAGGCCAUUGAAUACGCCAACAUUAAUUAUUAAGCGGGUUAAGCGACGACCAUUAUUAAGUUGGAAAACAUCUUUUGAAAAACAAAAAACAACAACAACAACAACAACAAAAACACUUGAUGGAAAACCAAAUGUUCAUUUAAUUGUGAACAGACAUUUAAGAGAAAUGUUGACUGAAUUGAGACCAGCGAGUGCUGGGUCAUGCUUGGGUUCCUGCAAAUGACGGGUGUACAGCAAAACUCCUCCCUUAAUAACAGAGCGCAGACACCAGACACAGCCUGGCUGCAUUUGCUUUGGUCUUGCAAGAUCAGUCUUUUUCACCUAACAAAACCGCACCACUGUACAUCAUGUUGUCAUGCAUUAGUUUGACCACUGAUAACAAGUUAUUUACUUUGUAUGGAUUCAUAGAUGAACAUUGUGAAAAUCAUUAGCCAUGACUUAACAGGAUUUAAUCAUUUGUAGCUUUGAGUUUUGUUUCUCUUCAAACAUUGAUUGCUAGGUCCAGCAAUGGCCAAAAAUGAACUUGCCAAUUAGCCAUGUUCGUGAAGAGCAAAGGAACAUGUGCAUUUAUUUGUAAAUUCAAAAUCUAAAGACAAAUGUUAAAAGUCCAUUACCAGUCAUAAUUAUGAAAUCAAUGAAGUCACACAAAUAAUAUUUUUAGGCAGAAUUCAUUUGCAUAUUCAGAGGCAUGGAAGCUAUUUAAAAAAAAACUUGCCUCCUGCCCCAAGGCAGCAGAUUAAUACCUUACUAGAAUUUUGAGGGUAAAAAAAUGUGUUCACUGUCUGCUUCCAGACAGGAUCUGUCAUCACCAGCGCUGGUAGCAUGGUUCAGACAUGACAGACCGCAGCAGUGGGGGCCAGACAGCUUUCCAGAGCGCAGGCUGCGCAGGCAUUCAGAAGAGACCUAACUUCAGCUCAUUCUGCAGCCCGAGAAACAGACUGUACCUCCAUUUGGCAUGAUAAAACUUUCAAGCUGGUACUGCCAUUCACAUGAAAAACAGCAGACUUUUCAAGGCAGCGUAUUAGAAAGUUCCAGAAGUCAUCACAUCAUAACAACCCCUUUGUCUUGCCUGCAAAAAGAUAUGGAUUUCAUGAUUACUUUCUCUGCAGCUUGUUCGAAUAGCACAAGUGCAAUGCAGUGACUUGUCCUGGGCACGUAAAAUCUAUUACAUUAUAAUGAUACCAUCAGUGCUUAGUUACAUUUUACAGAAGAGGCACAUUGAUCCAUUAAUUUAUUUCCCUCAAUAAUAAUAAUAUUAAUAAUAAUUAUUAUGAUUAUUAUUGUUGUUAUUAUUAUUAUUAUUAUUAUUAUUAUUAUUAUUAGUAGUAGUAGUAGUAGUAUUGUUAUGUCUUUUCAUUCCUUCUUCCUUUCAUAAUUCAUGCAUCUGAGAGAAAUUAUAUAUACUCUUGCAUACUUUAAUAAGGAUGAUGGUCAAAAUAUUGCAAUUGAUUAAAUUAAAUCAAAGUAAAAUGAUCCUUUAUAGUAUACUGAAAUAGGAAAAUAAAAUAAAAAAACAGUAAGAUAAAUGUAUCCUGAUAAAUCAGAAAUUAGGGAAAGGCCAGGAAAGGUGGAGAAGUGACAUGGCUAUUGGAGGAAGGAGGCUGGUGGAGGCCGGGGCCCCUGAUCCUGGGUAGGGGGCCGGGACUGAACCGAUAAGAGAUGACAACUCAGAUGAGAUAAGGGCUGCACAUAAGAGACACUCAGAUUGGAGCUGGAUCUGAAUGUGGCACAGAUUAACACUGAGGCCCCCAGAUAGCCCGGAGACAAAGGAAAAUGUCAAUGGUGCUAAAUGGCUACUUCCUGCCCUGCUACACGAGACUGGCUGAUCGAGUAUAUAUACAUAUACAUAUAUAUAGACAUAUACAUACACGCACACACACAUGUACAAAUUCAUAUUUGUGCAUGAGUGUGUUAAAUGUAAUUUGAAAAUAAAAAAUAAACAUAUAGUUGAAUGCAUAUUUGAAAUAUAUCCAAUACAUUUUUUUAAAUAAACCAGUGGUUUCUAGUUAUAUACAUUUUUUAAGUAUUUGAUUUUAGAGUUGCAGUCAAAAUACUGCAUUGCAUCUUUAUUUGGUAUAGGAAAACCCACAGAAACCUUUUACAAAUGAACAGGAUCUCUAAAAAACAAUAAAAGGUUAUACACAAGAGUUAUAUUAGAAAACGUUUAGUUACAUUUAAAAAGCAUUUAAAAUGUAUCUGGGAAUGAUAAAAAAAAUACAAAUCUGUAAUUAACUAAAUCAACUAUGGGUCUGUUAAAAACAAGUGCAUAUACGUAUUUAUUUUUAUUGAACUUUAAUGUUGUUAAUCUGGUUUGUCUGUCAGGUGACCGGGGACGGAUUGUGUCAAGAAAAAUGAUUGCUAUCAUAAAAGUCAUUGCCUAUGUUAAACGAUAAUUUAUCACUGUAUGCACAGAUGCUGUAUUUGUUAUGCACACAAAAUAAAAUGUGCUACUUCAUUGCA
This is a long non-coding RNA of Anguilla rostrata (American eel), 7210 nucleotides long. RefSeq lists it as uncharacterized. The record is from RefSeq and is a predicted model, not a curated record. NCBI's taxonomy places the organism in Eukaryota, Metazoa, Chordata, Actinopteri, Anguilliformes, Anguillidae. The transcript has 2 exons.